RNAcentral lists this unclassified non-coding RNA (345 nucleotides) under soil metagenome. Its description in RNAcentral is "partial contains 5.8S ribosomal RNA, internal transcribed spacer 2, and large subunit ribosomal RNA". The stretch from base 1 to 120 matches the Rfam family "5.8S ribosomal RNA", at positions 35 to 154 of the family's 154-position model. The record is from RNAcentral.
GAUGAAGAACGUAGCGAAAUGCGAUAAGUAAUGUGAAUUGCAGAAUUCAGUGAAUCAUCGAGUCUUUGAACGCACAUUGCGCCCCCUGGUAUUCCGGGGGGCAUGCCUGUCCGAGCGUCAUUGCUGCCCUCAAGCACGGCUUGUGUGUUGGGCCUCCGUCCUCCUCCCGGGGGACGGGCCCGAAAGGCAGCGGCGGCACCGCGUCCGGUCCUCGAGCGUAUGGGGCUUCGUCACCCGCUCUUGUAGGCCCGGCCGGCGCUUGCCGACACAUCAAUCUUUUUUCCAGGUUGACCUUGGAUCAGGUAGGGAUACCCGCUGAACUUAAGCAUAUCAAUAAGCGGAGGA